Molecule: long non-coding RNA, 1120 nt
Organism: Pyrgilauda ruficollis (rufous-necked snowfinch)
Lineage: Eukaryota; Metazoa; Chordata; Aves; Passeriformes; Passeridae
Exons: 6
Source: RefSeq, a predicted model, not a curated record
ACAACUCCUCCAUGAAAUAUGUUCAUUUUUGUAAUACAGGGCAAGAUUUUAUGUUUUAAAGAACAAACAUUAUUCAUCACACUUGGGAUGUGAACAAAAAGACACAUGAAGGAGGGUAAAGAGACUCAGAGCUAUUCCUGAUGUCACCCCCAUAAAGGGUCCUCUGAAAAGCCUCCUGAGGACAGCAGGAUCUGAAAGCUGUUAUUUUUGUGAGUGUUGCCAGACAUGAGAUACAAGAAAACAUGAUAUCUUUACAUAGCCUUCUGCCACACUUCAACUUUCCUUCAAAUUAGACCCACACAGGAGAGUAUAUAUGAAUAUCUCCAAGAAUAAGAUGAAACUCUGCAGUGAACCAUUCUUCUACAUCAGCCUCUGCCAGGAAAGCUAAGACACAUUAAGUACUGGAGACUCUGCAACAUCCAAAUCAGAAACUCUGCAGAACACCAGUCUAUUCAUAAAGACCUGAUUUGCACGUUCUCAGCACUUGGCUUCCUUUGAAUGGGAUUAGAUGGCACAAUCUCUUUUCACACUGCUUCUAUUUGAAGCUCCUGCUUCACAAAUAGAUACAACCCUGAGCUUCCCAAAACGGAAGCUACAGAUUAGCACCUACUCAUAUCCACCCACAUGCCAGGAUGAAAAGGGAAUGAGAACAAUGGAUAUUUUGGAUAUUUGCCAACUAUGGAUGUAUUGCCAGCUAAGAAAAUGCCACAAGCAGAAGGCAGAGCAGGAAGCUCUCCUCCCAAGUGAGGGUUGAGGCAAGAUCAAUCUGCUUCUUGAAGUACUGAGGCCUUUCACAGAAAUGAAAAAACAACAUCAGCACACAUCCUGGGAAAAUUCCAGAUAAAACCUCCCCACAGCAUGGCAAUGCUUAACACAUCCUCAGUUGAAACAACUGCUACAUCAUGUCCCCGAGGCAACAAGAAGUCAGAAAAGAUAAAACAAUUCUUUUGUACACUGUAUAGUUUUGCUGUGGGCUUGAGGAUCCAUCUGCCUAGAAGGUGUUUGAAAAAUGAAAGGUGUUGUCUUGUUUUUAAUUGUUAUGAAUGUUUUUGAUCAAACAGUUAUUGAAGAAACACAGCUAUGAUCCUACAACACUAACACAUUAAAUAUUCUCUAAUUU